AGCGGCGGACGGGUGAGUAACGCGUGGGUAGCCUGCCUCAUACAGGGGGAUAACAGUUGGAAACGGCUGCUAAUACCGCAUAAGCGCACAGUACCGCAUGGUACGGUGUGAAAAACUCCGGUGGUAUGAGAUGGACCCGCGUCUGAUUAGGUAGUUGGUGGGGUAACGGCCUACCAAGCCGACGAUCAGUAGCCGACCUGAGAGGGUGACCGGCCACAUUGGGACUGAGACACGGCCCAA
Molecule: ribosomal RNA, 240 nt
Filed under: uncultured bacterium
Lineage: Bacteria
Description: partial 16S ribosomal RNA
Rfam family: Bacterial small subunit ribosomal RNA
Source: RNAcentral